CAAUAGCGUAUAUUAAAGUUGUUGCAGUUAAAAAGCUCGUAGUUGGAUUUGUGGCGUACGGUGUGUUCCGGGCACUUGUUGUCUGAGUAACCUGCUGUUGCCAUCCUUGGGUGGAACCUGUGUGGCAUUAGGUUGUCGUGCAGGGGAUGCCCAUCAUUUACUGUGAAAAAAUUAGAGUGUUCAAAGCAGGCUUAUGCCGUUGAAUAUAUUAGCAUGGAAUAAUGAGAUAGGACUUUUUUGCUAUCUUGUUGGUUUGCGCAAAGAGGUAAUGAUUAAUAGGGACAGUUGGGGGUAUUCGUAUUCCAUUGUCAGAGGUGAAAUUCUUGGAUUUUUGGAAGACGAACUACUGCGAAAGCAUUUACCAAGGAUGUUUUCAUUAA
This 380-nucleotide ribosomal RNA is filed under the name uncultured eukaryote. RNAcentral describes it as "partial 18S ribosomal RNA". It matches the Rfam family "Eukaryotic small subunit ribosomal RNA", at positions 592 to 976 of the family's 1831-position model. The record is from RNAcentral.